RNAcentral lists this unclassified non-coding RNA (1418 nucleotides) under uncultured Neocallimastigales. RNAcentral describes it as "partial contains small subunit ribosomal RNA, internal transcribed spacer 1, 5.8S ribosomal RNA, internal transcribed spacer 2, and large subunit ribosomal RNA". The stretch from base 661 to 1418 matches the Rfam family "Eukaryotic large subunit ribosomal RNA", at positions 1 to 617 of the family's 3401-position model. The record is from RNAcentral. Lineage: Eukaryota; Fungi; Neocallimastigomycota; Neocallimastigomycetes; Neocallimastigales.
UUUCCGUAGGUGAACCUGCGGAAGGAUCAUUAAAAAUUGGACUCCAUUGGUGAGUUCAUUAAUAAUCCCUACCCUUUGUGAAUUUGUUUGUUUGAAUAAUUUUUUUUCCAAAAAAAAAUUAUUGAAUGUCUUUCCCUGUUUUGGUGGAGCUUGUAAAGUGAAACCAGGCAGGGGAAUGGCAAACAAUAAUUAUUUUUUGAAAAAAGACCUUUUUUAAAAUUAAACUUUUUGUAUUCAUUUGUCUAAAAUUAUUUUUAUAAUAUAGAAACAACUUUUGACAAUGGAUCUCUUGGUUCUCGCAACGAUGAAGAACGCAGCAAAAUGCGAUAAGUAGUGUGAAUUGCAGAAUACGUGAAUCAUCGAGUCUUCGAACGCAUAUUGCACUUUUUUAGUUUACUAAAAAAGUAUGUCUGUUUGAGUAUCAGUAAAAUAUUCUCAUAAAAAACAUUGUUUUUUUAUGGUUAUGAGUGUUUUACAACGAUAACAAGUUGUUUCACUUUAAAUUCUUUGUUAUCAAAAAAAUCAUUAAAAGCUAAUUUUAAAGAUUUUUUAAAGUUGGAUAAAAUUUUCCCGUAAAAAGGAAUAACCUAAACAAUUUUAAAAAAUUAAAAUUGGUUUGAUUUUUUUUGAAACCCAAAGGAAAAAAAAACGAAAUUAACUUGAUCUCAAAUCAGAUAAGAGUACCCGCUGAACUUAAGCAUAUCAAUAAGCGGAGGAAAAGAAACUAACUAGGAUUCCCUCAGUAACGGCGAGUGAAGCGGGAAGAGCUCAAAUUUGAAAUCUUCAAGGUUUUACCUUGACGAAUUGUAGUUUAAAGAAGUGUUUUCUGUUGGAGUUUUGGUAAAAGUUCUUUGGAAAAGGACAUCAUAGAGGGUGAGAAUCCCGUAUUUGACCAUUAUCUCCAGCUUUGUGAUACACUUUCAAAGAGUCGGAUUGUUUGGGAAUGCAGUCCAUAAUGGGUGGUAAAUUUCAUCUAAAGCUAAAUACUGGCGAGAGACCGAUAGCGAACAAGUACCGUGAGGGAAAGAUGAAAAGAGCUUUGAAAAGAGAGUUAAACAGUACGUGAAAUUGUCAAAAGGGAAGCGUUUGACACCAGUGUUGUUUUCUCGAAAAUCAAUUAAAAAAGGCCGGAUUUUGUGUUGUAUUGACUUUAUCAGCUUUCUGCACUUUUUUCUUGUCUUUUUUAAUGCACUUUUCGUUUAACAAGUCAACAUCAAUUUCUUUUGUUGUAAAAGGGUCAUUGGAAGGUGGCUUUCUUUUCGGAGAAAGUGUUUAUAGCCUUUGGCCUCUGCAAUCGGAGAGAUUGAGGUCUGCAGCGUAGAUCCUUCGGGGUUAGAUACAUUUGUGCUAAGUUAUAGCCUUUCAUAGACAACUUGUUGACUAUGAUCAGUCAUGUAGCUUACUCGCUUAUGCUAUUU